AUUGAACGCUGGCGGCAGGCCUAACACAUGCAAGUCGAGCGAGCGGCGGACGGGUGAGUAAUGUCUGGGAAACUGCCUGAUGGAGGGGGAUAACUACUGGAAACGGUAGCUAAUACCGUAUACCAUCAGAUUUGCCCAGAUGGGUGUAGCUAGUAGGUGGGGUAACGGCUCACCUAGGCGACGAUACCUAGCGGGUCUGAGAGGAGGACCAGCCACACUGGAACUGAGACACGGUCCAGACCCCUACGGGAGGCAGCAGUGGGGAAUGUUGCACAAUGGGCGCAAGCCUGAUGCAGCCAUGCCGAGUGUGUGAAGAAGGCCUUCGGGUUGUAAAGCACUUUCAGCGGGGAGGCGUUACCCGCAGAAGAAGCACCGGCUAACUCCGUGCCAGCAGCCGCGGUAAUUC
RNAcentral lists this ribosomal RNA (406 nucleotides) under uncultured bacterium. Its description in RNAcentral is "partial 16S ribosomal RNA". It matches the Rfam family "Bacterial small subunit ribosomal RNA", at positions 30 to 526 of the family's 1533-position model. The record is from RNAcentral.